Helianthus annuus (common sunflower) is the source of this 320-nucleotide long non-coding RNA. RefSeq lists it as uncharacterized. The transcript is spliced from 3 exons. NCBI's taxonomy places the organism in Eukaryota, Viridiplantae, Streptophyta, Magnoliopsida, Asterales, Asteraceae. The record is from RefSeq and is a predicted model, not a curated record.
UUUGAAUACUGUACCGGUAGUCAGUAACUAGGUAUUUUCGAAACUGCUGAUUGCAACCAAAGUCACUCAUCUUAUAUGCUACAAAUUUGAAGGUGAUGGCACUUCCGACAACCAGGGGUAUUGAAAAAACCACACAAUCUUUUCGUUGAAGAGCUUAAAGUGAUGUCAAAAGAAGUUGAUAAGUGUCGGGAACUAUGAAGUGGAAGUAUGACUACUAAGAAAACAUUAACACGAUGAUUAUUUAACUCGCAUGAAGAUUGUGAAAGAGAUUCAUGAACACCAUGAAGUUUUGACUUUUUAUUCAUACACUUGUUAGUUUA